Molecule: ribosomal RNA, 432 nt
Filed under: uncultured bacterium
Lineage: Bacteria
Description: partial 16S ribosomal RNA
Rfam family: Bacterial small subunit ribosomal RNA
Source: RNAcentral
AACGAACGCUGGCGGCAUGCCUAACACAUGCAAGUCGAACGAGACCUUCGGGUCUAGUGGCGCACGGGUGCGUAACGCGUGGGAACCUGCCCUUAGGUUCGGAAUAACUCCCCGAAAGGGGUGCUAAUACCGGAUAAUGUCUUCGGACCAAAGAUUUAUCGCCUUUGGAUGGGCCCGCGUUGGAUUAGCUAGUUGGUAGGGUAAAAGCCUACCAAGGCGACGAUCCAUAGCUGGUCUGAGAGGAUGAUCAGCCACACUGGGACUGAGACACGGCCCAGACUCCUCCGGGAGGAGGCAGUGGGGAAUAUUGGACAAGGGGCGAAAGCCGGACCCAGCAAUGCCGGGGGGGUGAUGAAGGCUUUAGGGUUGUAAAGCUCUUUUACCCGGGAUGAUAAUGACAGUCCCGGGAGAAAAAGCCCCGGCUAACCCCGG